RNAcentral lists this ribosomal RNA (2929 nucleotides) under Escherichia coli. RNAcentral's name for it is "23S ribosomal RNA". It matches the Rfam family "Bacterial large subunit ribosomal RNA". Lineage: Bacteria; Pseudomonadati; Pseudomonadota; Gammaproteobacteria; Enterobacterales; Enterobacteriaceae. The record is from RNAcentral.
GGGUUGUGAGGUUAAGCGACUAAGCGUACACGGUGGAUGCCCUGGCAGUCAGAGGCGAUGAAGGACGUGCUAAUCUGCGAUAAGCGUCGGUAAGGUGAUAUGAACCGUUAUAACCGGCGAUUUCCGAAUGGGGAAACCCAGUGUGUUUCGACACACUAUCAUUAACUGAAUCCAUAGGUUAAUGAGGCGAACCGGGGGAACUGAAACAUCUAAGUACCCCGAGGAAAAGAAAUCAACCGAGAUUCCCCCAGUAGCGGCGAGCGAACGGGGAGCAGCCCAGAGCCUGAAUCAGUGUGUGUGUUAGUGGAAGCGUCUGGAAAGGCGCGCGAUACAGGGUGACAGCCCCGUACACAAAAAUGCACAUGCUGUGAGCUCGAUGAGUAGGGCGGGACACGUGGUAUCCUGUCUGAAUAUGGGGGGACCAUCCUCCAAGGCUAAAUACUCCUGACUGACCGAUAGUGAACCAGUACCGUGAGGGAAAGGCGAAAAGAACCCCGGCGAGGGGAGUGAAAAAGAACCUGAAACCGUGUACGUACAAGCAGUGGGAGCACGCUUAGGCGUGUGACUGCGUACCUUUUGUAUAAUGGGUCAGCGACUUAUAUUCUGUAGCAAGGUUAACCGAAUAGGGGAGCCGAAGGGAAACCGAGUCUUAACUGGGCGUUAAGUUGCAGGGUAUAGACCCGAAACCCGGUGAUCUAGCCAUGGGCAGGUUGAAGGUUGGGUAACACUAACUGGAGGACCGAACCGACUAAUGUUGAAAAAUUAGCGGAUGACUUGUGGCUGGGGGUGAAAGGCCAAUCAAACCGGGAGAUAGCUGGUUCUCCCCGAAAGCUAUUUAGGUAGCGCCUCGUGAAUUCAUCUCCGGGGGUAGAGCACUGUUUCGGCAAGGGGGUCAUCCCGACUUACCAACCCGAUGCAAACUGCGAAUACCGGAGAAUGUUAUCACGGGAGACACACGGCGGGUGCUAACGUCCGUCGUGAAGAGGGAAACAACCCAGACCGCCAGCUAAGGUCCCAAAGUCAUGGUUAAGUGGGAAACGAUGUGGGAAGGCCCAGACAGCCAGGAUGUUGGCUUAGAAGCAGCCAUCAUUUAAAGAAAGCGUAAUAGCUCACUGGUCGAGUCGGCCUGCGCGGAAGAUGUAACGGGGCUAAACCAUGCACCGAAGCUGCGGCAGCGACGCUUAUGCGUUGUUGGGUAGGGGAGCGUUCUGUAAGCCUGCGAAGGUGUGCUGUGAGGCAUGCUGGAGGUAUCAGAAGUGCGAAUGCUGACAUAAGUAACGAUAAAGCGGGUGAAAAGCCCGCUCGCCGGAAGACCAAGGGUUCCUGUCCAACGUUAAUCGGGGCAGGGUGAGUCGACCCCUAAGGCGAGGCCGAAAGGCGUAGUCGAUGGGAAACAGGUUAAUAUUCCUGUACUUGGUGUUACUGCGAAGGGGGACGGAGAAGGCUAUGUUGGCCGGGCGACGGUUGUCCCGGUUUAAGCGUGUAGGCUGGUUUUCCAGGCAAAUCCGGAAAAUCAAGGCUGAGGCGUGAUGACGAGGCACUACGGUGCUGAAGCAACAAAUGCCCUGCUUCCAGGAAAAGCCUCUAAGCAUCAGGUAACAUCAAAUCGUACCCCAAACCGACACAGGUGGUCAGGUAGAGAAUACCAAGGCGCUUGAGAGAACUCGGGUGAAGGAACUAGGCAAAAUGGUGCCGUAACUUCGGGAGAAGGCACGCUGAUAUGUAGGUGAAGCGACUUGCUCGUGGAGCUGAAAUCAGUCGAAGAUACCAGCUGGCUGCAACUGUUUAUUAAAAACACAGCACUGUGCAAACACGAAAGUGGACGUAUACGGUGUGACGCCUGCCCGGUGCCGGAAGGUUAAUUGAUGGGGUCAGCGCAAGCGAAGCUCUUGAUCGAAGCCCCGGUAAACGGCGGCCGUAACUAUAACGGUCCUAAGGUAGCGAAAUUCCUUGUCGGGUAAGUUCCGACCUGCACGAAUGGCGUAAUGAUGGCCAGGCUGUCUCCACCCGAGACUCAGUGAAAUUGAACUCGCUGUGAAGAUGCAGUGUACCCGCGGCAAGACGGAAAGACCCCGUGAACCUUUACUAUAGCUUGACACUGAACAUUGAGCCUUGAUGUGUAGGAUAGGUGGGAGGCUUUGAAGUGUGGACGCCAGUCUGCAUGGAGCCGACCUUGAAAUACCACCCUUUAAUGUUUGAUGUUCUAACGUGGACCCGUGAUCCGGGUUGCGGACAGUGUCUGGUGGGUAGUUUGACUGGGGCGGUCUCCUCCUAAAGAGUAACGGAGGAGCACGAAGGUUGGCUAAUCCUGGUCGGACAUCAGGAGGUUAGUGCAAUGGCAUAAGCCAGCUUGACUGCGAGCGUGACGGCGCGAGCAGGUGCGAAAGCAGGUCAUAGUGAUCCGGUGGUUCUGAAUGGAAGGGCCAUCGCUCAACGGAUAAAAGGUACUCCGGGGAUAACAGGCUGAUACCGCCCAAGAGUUCAUAUCGACGGCGGUGUUUGGCACCUCGAUGUCGGCUCAUCACAUCCUGGGGCUGAAGUAGGUCCCAAGGGUAUGGCUGUUCGCCAUUUAAAGUGGUACGCGAGCUGGGUUUAGAACGUCGUGAGACAGUUCGGUCCCUAUCUGCCGUGGGCGCUGGAGAACUGAGGGGGGCUGCUCCUAGUACGAGAGGACCGGAGUGGACGCAUCACUGGUGUUCGGGUUGUCAUGCCAAUGGCACUGCCCGGUAGCUAAAUGCGGAAGAGAUAAGUGCUGAAAGCAUCUAAGCACGAAACUUGCCCCGAGAUGAGUUCUCCCUGACCCUUUAAGGGUCCUGAAGGAACGUUGAAGACGACGACGUUGAUAGGCCGGGUGUGUAAGCGCAGCGAUGCGUUGAGCUAACCGGUACUAAUGAACCGUGAGGCUUAACCUUACAACGCCGAAGCUGUU